This is a non-coding RNA of Pelobates cultripes (western spadefoot toad), 297 nucleotides long. NCBI's taxonomy places the organism in Eukaryota, Metazoa, Chordata, Amphibia, Anura, Pelobatidae. The record is from the annotation of a GenBank genome assembly.
GCUGAGUCUAAUGGGAUUGGAGGAUUUGGAUUGUGGCACCUUAGUAAUGUUCCUUCUAGAGUUUUGGUGGUCUGCUUGCUAGAGUAGCUUAUGGGGUUCUGGCCCUGGUGUGAUGUGGGCGUCUUAGUUCCCUCAAUUCUCAGGGCAGUUUGGGGGGGGAGGGUGAGCGGGUCUCGGUGUCAGAUGGUCCCAUAUGGGUAAGUGUGUGUAGUGGCUGAAAGAAGUGGGUGGGCCUCUGAGGUCGUGUGUAUAGUAGCGUCAGGAGCAAGUGGAAAUAGCUAUGUGGAAGAGGUCAUU